UCCCAGACUCCUACGGGAGGCAGCAGUGGGGAAUAUUGCACAAUGGGGGGAACCCUGAUGCAGCGACGCCGCGUGGGUGAAGGAGCACCUCGGUGCGUAAAGCCCUAUCGGCAGGGAAGAAACAGACGGUACCUGACUAAGAAGCCCCGGCUAACUACGUGCCAGCAGCCGCGGUAAUACGUAGGGGGCAAGCGUUAUCCGGAUUCACUGGGUGUAAAGGGAGCGUAGACGGCGACGCAAGUCUGGAGUGAAAGCCCGGGGCCCAACCCCGGGACUGCUCUGGAAACUGCGGCGCUGGAGUACGGGAGGGGCAGGCGGAAUUCCUGGUGUAGCGGUGAAAUGCGUAGAUAUUAGGAGGAACACCAGUGGCGAAGGCGGCUUGCUGGACAGAGACUGACGUUGAGGCUCGAAAGCGUGGGGAGCAAACAGGAUUAGAUACCCCAGUAAU
This 448-nucleotide ribosomal RNA is filed under the name uncultured bacterium. RNAcentral's name for it is "partial 16S ribosomal RNA". It matches the Rfam family "Bacterial small subunit ribosomal RNA", at positions 329 to 794 of the family's 1533-position model. The record is from RNAcentral.